This is a long non-coding RNA of Triticum dicoccoides, 1503 nucleotides long. RefSeq lists it as uncharacterized. The record is from RefSeq and is a predicted model, not a curated record. The transcript is spliced from 4 exons. NCBI's taxonomy places the organism in Eukaryota, Viridiplantae, Streptophyta, Magnoliopsida, Poales, Poaceae.
CCUCUCGCGACCACGCCGUCGGGGCAGUUUUGGCCACUGCCCCACACCUCGCCCCACCUCUUCCCCAGAUCCUUCCCGCCAGCCAUCGCCCUCGACCUGUGCCUCCGUCUGCACGUGCCGCCGGACCGCCGCGCCCACGCUCUAGGCGCUCGGGCCACCCCAUCCACGCACCGCCCGGGCGGCCACGCCCACUCGCCGCACACAGGCGCCGAACCUCCAUGCUGCAUGUGCUUUACCCUCAGAUUCUUCCUGGUUGCAGUGAUAAUUUUUGGUUUAAUUGUACGCAUGUUCAAUACCACUUCCUGGUGCUAGAUGUAUUGGAGACGGCAGGCAGCGGCAGCAGGAGGAAGAGGACUGGGGCGACGGGCUCAGAUGUGCACUUCUCUGAAAGUCCAGGCAGCCGGCAGUCGGCAGCCAAGACCCAAGACGAUGGGCGAGGUGCUUCAUCUCCUGCCCCGCGCACUCAAACACACGAAUGAGUUGAUGCUGCCUCAUCCCACGUUGGUGCAGUCUACUCUUUGGUUGGUAUCGAGCUACAGUUCCGAUGACUUGCAGCUCAGGUCGGGAAAAGGCGCGGGUAGUGCACACACUAUCGUUUGUUGCUGGGAUCAACACGCUGCUGUAGUGAAUUUAUGGCUUCUAUCUCGCAUGGAUGCCUAGGUGGCUGUUGCUGUCGCCUUCAUGCCCAUGAGAGCUGGUUUGUCACCGAGGUCGCCAGGCAGGAGUGUCCUUUUCUGCUUCGAGCUGCUUUGACCGGUGGCACACUUCAGGGACCAUGCUCUCACCAUGGACAACACAGUCGUGGGACUCGUGGUCGCUGGCGGAAAGGUGGAGCAAGAGGUCUCUGAAGCUGCAGCAGAACGAGUCUGUAGAGACGACGUUGAAUUUUAUCAAGGUUUUUUCAUUUGUUUUGAACCAUCCAGGAGAGACAAGGUUGCUUCAUUUGCAAGCUCAAAACUCUUUAUGAUUGUAUUCUACUUCUCUACCCAGUUCAUUGAACCUAUGCAAUUGGUUGUCGGUGUUUGAUCCCAUUAGUAGUAUGAUCAAUUUUGUUUCGAGACAUGCAGUCCCCAAAUCAAACACUCCCCACGAUCCGAUGAAUGGGAGAGGGAAGCUGAGGCAAUGGCUGUGCCACUGUAGACAAACAGUUUAACACUGAGACAAAGCUCUGUAUCGAGGGAUGAAGCGUUUGGAGCCCGGAUGAAGAGUGCUUCCGAGGUGGAGAAAGAGGACAACUAUUGAGAAUGCUUCCAAAUCGCUCAGAAUUUUUGUUUUAGCAGACUCGGACUCCUUGUGUUCUUUUUUGAGUCGCGGACUCCUUGUUUGAUACAAUACAUUUGAAGAGCCCUUUUUGCGCACUGUUCAAAUAAGCUCUUCAUUUUUAUGAGUCUGGUCAAACAAUGCACUUCAAAUAAUGAAGUUAUUGUCUCUGGGAUAUUUGGCCAAAUGUUGUACUUAUCAUCCUAGAUAAUCCCUAUUCAUUACGUAUGUAUGUAUCACAUU